Molecule: ribosomal RNA, 680 nt
Filed under: Cordylus macropholis
Lineage: Eukaryota; Metazoa; Chordata; Lepidosauria; Squamata; Cordylidae
Description: partial 12S ribosomal RNA
Rfam family: Bacterial small subunit ribosomal RNA
Source: RNAcentral
UUGCCCAAGCCACACCCCCACGGGCCUACAGCAGUGAUUAAUAUUAAACAUAAGCGAAAGCUUGAUUUAGUUAUAGUAACACAAAGGGCCGGUAAAUUUCGUGCCAGCCACCGCGGUUAUACGAAAGACCCAAAAUAACGGCCCCCGGCGUAAAGCGUAGCUAGAAAUUAUAAACUAAGGACAAACACCUUCUCCGCUGUGAAACGCUCAAGAAGACAAGAAUAUUAUUAACCUUAUAACCAUUUGACGCUACGAAAGCUGAGGCACAAACUGGGAUUAGAUACCCCACUAUGCUCAGCCAUAAACUUAGAUAGCAAAAUACUACCUAUCCGCCAGAGAACUACAAGCAAAAUACUUAAAACUCAAAGGACUUGGCGGCAUUCCAUAUCAACCUAGAGGAGCCCGUCCAGUAAUCGAUAAUACGCGCUCAACCCAACCAUUUUUGGCCACUCCAGCCUAUAUACCGCCGUCGUCAGCUAACCUUGUGAAAGAAAAGUAGUAAGCACAACAGUUCUCACUCAAACGUCAGGUCAAGGUGUAGCUAAUAAAAUGGAUGAGAUAGGCUACAUUUUCUACUAUAGAAAAAACGGAAAAUACAAUGAAACCUUGUAAUAGAAGGUGAAUUUAGAAGUAAAUUAAGAAAGGAUCCUUAUUUAACAUCGCCCUGGAAUGCGCACACA